RNAcentral lists this ribosomal RNA (253 nucleotides) under uncultured bacterium. Its description in RNAcentral is "partial 16S ribosomal RNA". It matches the Rfam family "Bacterial small subunit ribosomal RNA", at positions 524 to 776 of the family's 1533-position model. The record is from RNAcentral.
UACGAAGGGUGCUAGCGUUGUUCGGAAUUACUGGGCGUAAAGCGCGCGUAGGCGGCUUGUCAAGUCAGGGGUGAAAUCCUGGGGCUUAACCCCAGAAUUGCCUUUGAAACUGUCAAGCUGGAGUGUCGGAGGGGAUAGCGGAAUUGCUAAUGUAGAGGUGAAAUUCGUAGAUAUUGGGAAGAACACCGGUGGCGAAGGCGGCUCUCUGGACCGAUACUGACGCUGAGGCGCGAAAGCGUGGGGAGCAAACAGG